Long non-coding RNA from Suricata suricatta (meerkat), 490 nucleotides. RefSeq lists it as uncharacterized. NCBI's taxonomy places the organism in Eukaryota, Metazoa, Chordata, Mammalia, Carnivora, Herpestidae. The record is from RefSeq and is a predicted model, not a curated record. The transcript has 3 exons.
AGUUGCUGCCAUGUUCACAGCCGAGAUGCUCACUGCAGGCUUGAAGGGAAGGGGCUUCUCCGUGCUCCACACCUACCAGGACCACUUGUGAGACAUCCCUAGGAACCAAAAUUUGGGAACUACUGGCCUAAGCAUGGUUAGUUAGCAGAACGGAGCCGAGGAUCCCAAGCCAUGAGGAAAGAUAACAAGGGAAUUUGUCACAAGACGAAGGUGACCAUUAUACAUCUGAGUCAGUAAGUGGAGGCAAGUUUGAGCUCAGAUCAGGAACAGAGACUGAAGCGAACGGCCUCUCCUCGUUUGAAUUAACUACAGAAACAGUGAUGGAUUCUUCACAAGCUUUUUCCUGCUCUUUGCAAGUUACAUUUGUAUUUUCAUGGUGCUCCCCAUGAAAGCAGUGGUGGUGUGGGGAGCCCAAGCCUCUACAACCACAAAUUAAAAGUCCCACAUCGAGUAAAAGAUGACCGAAUCUUUGUCAGUUCUGCUAUGUACA